RNAcentral lists this long non-coding RNA (924 nucleotides) under Olea europaea subsp. europaea. Lineage: Eukaryota; Viridiplantae; Streptophyta; Magnoliopsida; Lamiales; Oleaceae. The record is from RNAcentral.
CGAGAGGGCUAUAACUCUCCUAAAGGUUUUCCUUCUACUCACUCAAUAAUUGCCUAUAUUUUACUCCCUCUCCUAUUACAUUUAUACUACUAUUUCCAUCCUUAUUCCCCAAACUACCACUGAUAACUAAUUGGAUUGGAACACUCUAGAAUAUGGCGUAACAAACUUGCAUGUCUAAUUGGGAAGUCUAUCAUUACUUGCCCCCCGAAUUUCAUCUUGUCCUCGCGGUGAAAAUUCAGACCGACUCCCAAAAUUUCGUACAUUCGGACUACUAUCUUUACCAUUCCAGUCAUGAUUGGAGUAGAGAAUGAAUACUCCACCUCGAAGAAGUUGACAGGCCUAUUAACUAUAAGUAGUAUAUUGUCCAAGAAAACCCCAUAUCCAGUUGCACCCCUUCGCGUGUUUCCCAAAAAUUGAAACCGCCAGAUUGAAAUUAAAUGGUGGAUAGUACAACCAAUCAGCUUCGCCACCCUUCUUGUGCUACUAUUGAAUAUAUCAACAAUCCUAACGUAUCACCAACCUCCACAUAAUUGUUGGUAUUAAAAAUUCCUUCACUUUUAUGGCCACCUACCCAUCCAAAUUCAUUGUUAUUGAUUUCCCAAACUGUUACUCCUGUCUCAUUGUUUGACAGAACAAUCUCAUGGCCCAUCUGAUUAAGUUCAUUCCAACCCACUUUGUCAGGUACCAAAAACAACAUGAACAAUGGAGAAUGCCCUGAAAAAUUCCAUGACAAUUGCACCAAUUCCUCAUCUAUAGGCGCAAAAACGGUUAACUUCAAAUUCUCGCCUAAUAUCAAGAAUGAAAUUUGAUGAGGGCUAAUUAUACCCUUCUCCACCAAUUCACUCAACGAACAGCAAGUCGACAUUUUCACUUCGAGACUCCUAAUCUGACUUGUGAGUAUCAUGGACUGCAAUUCGAUUUUUG